Molecule: long non-coding RNA, 1031 nt
Filed under: Bos grunniens (domestic yak)
Lineage: Eukaryota; Metazoa; Chordata; Mammalia; Artiodactyla; Bovidae
Description: lncRNA (ENSBGRG00000020848.1)
Source: RNAcentral
GAGAAAACGGGAAGAGCUUGAAAGAGGACUAGCUGGAUAAAAGUAAUAAAUGACUGCUUUUCUGAUGUUGUGAAGUUCAAGUUCAGGAAGCAUCCAGUGAAAGUUAAUCUGGAAUCACAACGAUGUGAACACCAGCUGUUCCUCAGUCUCCCUUUUUCAUAAUCCAACCAGCAUUUCUAAAAUUGGUGACAAAACUUUGUCCUGGGAGAAUGGACCUCCUUUUUUCAAACCCAAAGUGACCUGCUGUCGAGCAAAUGAUGGAGCUGGGAAACAUUAUUAGUCGAUAACAAUAUGGAGCUGUAAAGUCUAGCCUAAUUUUCUUGUGAAGGCGAUACCAAAGCAGACUUCCCAAAGUGUUCUGAACAAUGACAGAGCCAUUUGGGUAAGUGUGGAAAACCUAAGGGGGCUCCUUUGAAGGACAAGCCUUAUUUUUAGUUGUUUGCCUAUGCAGACGCUUCAUUUUUCAAGCAUGUAAUAGGGGGAACAAGAAUACCGGAAGUACACUGUGCAUUGUGUGCUAGGAACAAAACCUCUGUGCUGGAGGAAAGGUAAUUGUCUGUUCCUUUCAGAACCUUCCAGUGAACUGGACACAGGAGGAUGUUCUGUUUAUAUUGUAUAGUAUUUCAUAUGAAAUAAUUACAGUUCAUGAAAUGUCUUCCUAAUGUUACUGAUUUAUAACAGCACAUUUGUAACAUGCUUUUAUCGUGUCAGUGUACCAUAUUGUAAAUGAGGAUUACUUGUCAUGCUUAGUAUAAUAACUUAAAAAAAAAGCACAGGGAUUUUUGUAAGUCUAUAUUUGAAAGUCCCUCCAUAUGGUAAUAUUGUGUUCAUGUUGUUUAUGUAGUGUUGUGUGAAAUAUCCAUUUUGGAUUGUGUUACUUUUUAAGAUAUUAAAUAACAUUUGGUUAUAUGUCUAAGUGGAUUUUUUUUUUUUUUGGUACUUGAGAGAAAAAUACCUUACGUGAGACCACUUUAUUUCUCCUCAACUAAUAUUACAUCAUAACAAAAUUUUAUUGCACAAUCUUGGUUAUU